RNAcentral lists this transfer RNA (76 nucleotides) under Julbernardia paniculata. RNAcentral describes it as "tRNA-Asp". The record is from RNAcentral. Lineage: Eukaryota; Viridiplantae; Streptophyta; Magnoliopsida; Fabales; Fabaceae.
AGAGGUUUGAAUGAAAUGGUAAGAAUAUGUACGCUCUACGCUUUUUUCCCUGGGACUGUAGUUCAAUUGGUCAGAG